GGACGAUUAGCUCAGUUGGCUAGAGCAUCACAUUGACGUUGUGAGGGUCAGAGGUUCGAGUCCUCUAUCGUCCACCA
This 77-nucleotide transfer RNA is filed under the name Candidatus Saccharimonadota bacterium. RNAcentral describes it as "tRNA-Val". It matches the Rfam family "tRNA". From Rfam's summary of the family: Transfer RNA (tRNA) molecules are approximately 80 nucleotides in length. Their secondary structure includes four short double-helical elements and three loops (D, anti-codon, and T loops). Further hydrogen bonds mediate the characteristic L-shaped molecular structure. tRNAs have two regions of fundamental functional importance: the anti-codon, which is responsible for specific mRNA codon recognition, and the 3' end, to which the tRNAs corresponding amino acid is attached (by aminoacyl-tRNA synthetases). tRNAs cope with the degeneracy of the genetic code in two manners: having more than one tRNA (with a specific anti-codon) for a particular amino acid; and 'wobble' base-pairing, i.e. permitting non-standard base-pairing at the 3rd anti-codon position. Lineage: Bacteria; Candidatus Saccharimonadota. RNAcentral also lists the same sequence under 1 other name. The record is from RNAcentral.